RNAcentral lists this ribosomal RNA (253 nucleotides) under uncultured bacterium. Its description in RNAcentral is "partial 16S ribosomal RNA". It matches the Rfam family "Bacterial small subunit ribosomal RNA", at positions 524 to 776 of the family's 1533-position model. The record is from RNAcentral.
UACGUAGGGUGCGAGCGUUGUCCGGAAUUAUUGGGCGUAAAGGGCUCGUAGGCGGUUUGUCGCGUCGGGAGUGAAAACCAGGUGCUUAACACCUGGCUUGCUUUCGAUACGGGCAGACUAGAGGUAUUCAGGGGAGAACGGAAUUCCUGGUGUAGCGGUGAAAUGCGCAGAUAUCGGGAAGAACACCCGUGGCGAAGGCGGCUCUCUGGGACGGUACUGACGCUGAGACGCGAAAGCGUGGGGAGCGAACAGG